CCUACGGGUGGCAGCAGUGAGGAAUAUUGGUCAAUGGGCGUAAGCCUGAACCAGCCAAGUCGCGUGAGGGAUGAAUGUCCUAUGGAUCGUAAACCUCUUUUAUAAGGGAAUAAAGUGCGGGACGUGUCCCUUUUUGUAUGUACUUUAUGAAUAAGGAUCGGCUAACUCCGUGCCAGCAGCCGCGGUAAUACGGAGGAUCCGAGCGUUAUCCGGAUUUAUUGGGUUUAAAGGGAGCGUAGGUGGCGUUUUAAGUCAGCGGUGAAAGUUUGGGGCUCAACCAUAGAAUUGCGGUUGAUACUGGGAGGCUUGAGUAUGUUUGAGGCAGGCGGAAUGCGUGGUGUAGCGGUGAAAUGCUUAGAUAUCACGAAGAACCCCGAUUGAGAAGGCAGCCUACCAAGCCAUGACUGACGCUGAUGCACGAAAGCGUGGGGAUCAAACAGGAUUAGAUACCCGAGUAGUC
RNAcentral lists this ribosomal RNA (460 nucleotides) under uncultured bacterium. RNAcentral describes it as "partial 16S ribosomal RNA". It matches the Rfam family "Bacterial small subunit ribosomal RNA", at positions 338 to 795 of the family's 1533-position model. The record is from RNAcentral.